Molecule: ribosomal RNA, 390 nt
Filed under: uncultured bacterium
Lineage: Bacteria
Description: bacterial SSU rRNA
Rfam family: Bacterial small subunit ribosomal RNA
Source: RNAcentral
GACGAACGCUGGCGGCGCGCUUAAUACAUGCAAGUCGAGCGAGAACCAGGGCUUCGGCCCUGGGGACAGCGGCGAACGGGUGAGUAACACGUGGAUAACCUACCCUCGGCACCGGAAUAGCCCGGGGAAACUCGGAUUAAUGCCGGAUAGCCCCACAUCCUCUCGAGGAACGUGGGAAAAGGUAGCUUCGGCCUCUGGCCGGGGAUGGGUCCGCGGUGGAUUAGCUUGUUGGUGCGGGUAAUGGCCCACCAAGGCGACGAUCCAUAGCUGGUCUGAGAGGACGAUCAGCCACACUGGGACUGAGACACGGCCCAGACUCCUACGGGAGGCAGCAGUAGGGAAUCUUGCGCAAUGGGCGAAAGCCUGACGCAGCGACGCCGCGUGCGGGAA